UAUCCUCAUAAGUUCGACAAGAAGAGGAACCAUGAAUUUUAGUAAGUUAAUAACUCCUAUUAAUUUAUUUAUAUGGUGGCACAAAAUCGGAAGCCCCGACUGUUUACUAAAAACACAACUAUCUGCAAUUAUGAAAAUAAUAGUAUAGGUAGUGAGAUUUGCCCAAUGCCAUAUUAAUAAGUAAUAAUAAUGGGUAACUGUUUCUUUACAAAAAAUUGGUUAAUAGCGGUCUUAACUAUGAGGAUCCUAAGGUAGCAAAAUAAAUUGGCCAUUAAAUGUGGUCCGGUAUCAAUAAUUUAACGAUGGCUUCACUGUCUCUACAACUUGCUCAGUGAAAUUGAAUUACCCGUGCAGAUGCGGGUUACCUCAAAGAGGACGGGAAGACCCUAUGC
Molecule: ribosomal RNA, 392 nt
Filed under: Aureoboletus projectellus
Lineage: Eukaryota; Fungi; Basidiomycota; Agaricomycetes; Boletales; Boletaceae
Description: LSU rRNA
Rfam family: Bacterial large subunit ribosomal RNA
Source: RNAcentral